This 299-nucleotide ribosomal RNA is filed under the name uncultured Sunxiuqinia sp. RNAcentral describes it as "partial 16S ribosomal RNA". It matches the Rfam family "Bacterial small subunit ribosomal RNA", at positions 497 to 795 of the family's 1533-position model. The record is from RNAcentral. Lineage: Bacteria; Pseudomonadati; Bacteroidota; Bacteroidia; Marinilabiliales; Prolixibacteraceae.
UUAUCUGCGUGCCAGAAGCUUUGGUAAGAGGUAGGGUGCGAGCGUUAUCCGGAUUUACUGGGCGGAAAGGGUCCGUCGGCGUCUGUGCAAGUUUUUUGUUUAAGCCUGGGGCUCAACUUCAGAAAAGCAAAAAAUACUGUACGGAUAGAGUUUGUUCGAGGAAGUUGGAAUUCUUGGUGGAGGGGUGAAAUCCGUAGAUAUCAAGAGGAACACCGCGCGCGAAGGCAGGCUUCUAGAACAAUACUGACGCUCAUGGACGAAAGCUUGGGUAGCAAAGCGGAUUAGAUACCCCUGUAGUC